CUAACGUCUGCUAAAUGUUGUGUGACGCGUCUAGUGUGUUGGUGUUAGUGUCUGUGUGCUUGUCACCUCUCGCUUUCAGCCAUCACCGCUGGCUAGCAGCAAUGCGAAAAGGGGGAAAAAAUUCUAAUGUCUUCCCCUGCCAGUACAUAGCCUCUCCACAACAAGUCCUAUGCGAUGCCUCCACGUGGAAGCAGACGGAUACUGGGUAUCAUUUUGUCCCAGGCUAAGUUCGCAAGGGCGCACGGGAAGAUGAGUCUCAAAAGCAUUGAGGAAUACUUUUAAGGCUGAACAGGAUCCUGAAGUGAGGAGGACUCCCUCUCUCAUUGAACUGCAUACAGCAGCAGAAAGCAGGAUUUCAGUUCCCCUUUGAUUCAGAAGAGGAACAACAAUAGAGGACCAAGGUCAUUAAUAUAAGAAGAGUUUAUUCCUGUCUGUGUUUUGCAGCAGAAGAAAGUUAAGAACGACCAGGAAUUCUAAGUGAGGAAGAGUCCCUUUCCCAUUCCGCUGCAGCCAUGAGGAGAAUACUCUAUUUUCAAGGAAUUUGACAAGGGAAGAGGACCAGUGCUGACCAAGUGAAGAAAAAGAAGAGUCUAUUGCCAAGCUUUGUACAGCAGCCAAUAUCUGAUUAAGGGGCAGGCGGUUAUGCUGGCAUUGAUCCUGUUUCCAAAAGCAGAUCAACAUGAUUCCUCAAGACUCCAAAGAGAUCAACUAUGGGACCUGAAAAUAAAGGCAGACUGCCAUCAAUUUCAUGUUUCUUUGAAAGCAGACAAAUAUGCUUCAACAAUAGUGCAGAGAGUAAUUUAAGGUUUGGACUGCAAGUGAUGGACACACUAAAUAACUCAACUCAAAGAAUUCAGUGGAUAGUGCUGAGUACAUUAUUAUAUAUCUACAAAGUGAUGGGCACACUUAAAAUAGCUUAACUGACAGAAUUCAAUGGACUGUGCUGAGAACAUUGUUAUAUAUCUACAAAGUGAUGGACACACUACUUAUUUCAAUUAUAUAUAUCUACAAAGUGAUGGACACACUAAAUAGCUUAACUGACAGAAUUCAAUGGACUGUGCUGAGAACAUUGUUAUAUAUCUACAAAGUGAUGGACACACUAAAUAGCUUAACUGACAAAAUUCAAUGGACCGUGCUGAGUACAUUGUUAUAUAUCUACAAAGUGAUGGACACACUAAAUAGCUUAACUGACAGAAUUCAAUGGACCGUGCUGAGUACAUUGUUAUCUACAAAGUGAUGGACACACUAAAUAGCUUAACUCACAGAAUCCAAUGGACAGAGUUGAGUAUGUACUAAUAUCUACAAAGUGAUGGACACAGUAAACAGCUUAAUUCUCAGGAUUCAGUGUACCAUGCUGAGUACAUAACUCAUUAAGGAUAACUCAUGAUCAUAUGACAUCCACAGCAGAUCACUCAAAGUUGUGAUACUACAUUAUUGUACAACUUUUCAUAUACUACGUUAUUUUUUCUGAAUGUUUUUUUUUUUUGUAUCUGUACAUUAUAUUUUUUAAAUUUAAAAAAGUUAAAGAUUGGAUUUUUAAGCAAAAAUAUCAAGAGAGGUAAAUCAGUGCUUGUCUGAAUAUCUAAGCUUAAGAGAAAGGGAGGUAAUUUUUUUUAUUGUGAAUUCUUGUCCAGAGCAUAUGCUUUCUCCCCUUGGUCCAAUGUGGCUAAUACUUCUCUCACAGAGUGCCACUGGUCAAUGGAUGUGUAGUGACCUUGAACAAAGUUUCUAGGCCAAGAGUCAAGGUUAAAACCCCUUUCAGCUACUUUACAUUUUUAUGUUCAUUGCUGAAAGUGGGACCCUUUGAGAUGGCCACCAUCUCAAUGAUAUCUAAUUUUAGUUUGAAAAUUGCUAGAAAAGAUAAAGUGAUCUCAUUGUAACAUUAUUAUUUUUUAGUGUUUUAGAUUAUAAAUAAAUAUAACAAUAUGCAAAA
Long non-coding RNA from Saccostrea cuccullata (small rock oyster), 1933 nucleotides. RefSeq lists it as uncharacterized. The transcript has 7 exons. The record is from RefSeq and is a predicted model, not a curated record. Lineage: Eukaryota; Metazoa; Mollusca; Bivalvia; Ostreida; Ostreidae.